GGCGUUGGCAGCGGGCUGGGACCCACGCGGCGCCGCGGCCCGCCUGGCCUGCAGCGCUCCCACCCCCGGCGGCGGCACGAUGCCCUUUGACUUCAGGAGGUUUGACAUCUACAGGAAGGUGCCCAAGGACCUUACGCAGCCAACGUACACCGGGGCCAUUAUCUCCAUCUGCUGCUGCCUCUUCAUCCUCUUCCUCUUCCUCUCAGAGCUCACCGGAUUUAUAACGACAGAAGUUGUGAACGAGCUCUAUGUCGAUGACCCAGACAAGGACAGCGGUGGCAAGAUCGACGUCAGUCUGAACAUCAGUUUGCCCCAUCUGCACUGCGAGUUGGUCGGGCUCGACAUUCAGGAUGAGAUGGGCAGGCACGAAGUGGGCCACAUCGACAACUCCAUGAAGAUCCCGCUGAACAAUGGGGCAGGCUGCCGCUUCGAGGGGCAGUUCAGCAUCAACAAGAACCAGGAGCUUCAGAUCCUAAGUCAAGUGGGUGAACGCAGUGCCCUUGGGAGGGCCGAGGCACCCGGUGGCAGCUGGCAGGGUUUUGCUCAGCACGUGCCGGCCUUCCUCGAAGCUCAGUACUGUCACAGUGGAGCCUCUCAACAACACUGUGAGGCAGCACCAUUUGACAGGUCCCCGGCAACUUCCACGU
Molecule: small RNA, 647 nt
Filed under: Pongo abelii (Sumatran orangutan)
Lineage: Eukaryota; Metazoa; Chordata; Mammalia; Primates; Hominidae
Description: processed transcript
Source: RNAcentral